UUUAUACUCCAUCCGUCCCAAAAUUCUUGUCUUACAUUUGUCUAGAUAUGAAUGUAUCUAGUCACUUUUUAGUAUUUAGAUACAUCCUUUUCUAAGCAAACCUAAGACAAUAAUUUUAGGACGAAAGUAAUA
Molecule: microRNA precursor, 132 nt
Filed under: Hordeum vulgare
Lineage: Eukaryota; Viridiplantae; Streptophyta; Magnoliopsida; Poales; Poaceae
Description: microRNA MIR1122
Rfam family: MIR1120/MIR1122 microRNA precursor family
Source: RNAcentral